This 80-nucleotide transfer RNA is filed under the name Candidatus Ancillula kalotermitis. RNAcentral's name for it is "tRNA-Leu". It matches the Rfam family "tRNA". Rfam says of the family: Transfer RNA (tRNA) molecules are approximately 80 nucleotides in length. Their secondary structure includes four short double-helical elements and three loops (D, anti-codon, and T loops). Further hydrogen bonds mediate the characteristic L-shaped molecular structure. tRNAs have two regions of fundamental functional importance: the anti-codon, which is responsible for specific mRNA codon recognition, and the 3' end, to which the tRNAs corresponding amino acid is attached (by aminoacyl-tRNA synthetases). tRNAs cope with the degeneracy of the genetic code in two manners: having more than one tRNA (with a specific anti-codon) for a particular amino acid; and 'wobble' base-pairing, i.e. permitting non-standard base-pairing at the 3rd anti-codon position. Lineage: Bacteria; Bacillati; Actinomycetota; Actinomycetes; Bifidobacteriales; Bifidobacteriaceae. The record is from RNAcentral.
GCUCUUGUGGCGGAAUUGGUAGACGCGUUCGGCUCAAACCCGGAUGGGAAACCGUGUGGGUUCGAGUCCCACCAAGAGCA